UACGUAGGGGGCUAGCGUUGUCCGGAAUCAUUGGGCGUAAAGCGCGUGUAGGCGGUCCGGUAAGUCCGCUGUGAAAGUCGAGGGCUCAACCCUCGAAUGCCGGUGGAUACUGUCGGGCUUGAGUACGGGAGAGGCGAGUGGAAUUCCUGGUGUAGCGGUGAAAUGCGCAGAUAUCAGGAGGAACACCAAUUGCGAAGGCAGCUCGCUGGGACGUUACUGACGCUGAGACGCGAAAGCCAGGGGAGCAAACGGG
Molecule: ribosomal RNA, 253 nt
Filed under: uncultured bacterium
Lineage: Bacteria
Description: partial 16S ribosomal RNA
Rfam family: Bacterial small subunit ribosomal RNA
Source: RNAcentral